CUCGCCCUGCGCGGGGGGCAGCUGCUGAGCGUGGCCGCCCGCGAGCUCCCGUUCCCGCAGGCGCGGCGCUGCGCGCCCGCGCGGUAACAGCGCGACAGGAUCUCCGCCACCAGAACAGAUAAAAUACAUGCUACAGCAACACAAGUUGUCCGUUACUGCAACAGGAGUAAGCAGGCAAAAUCUCCAUACCUCAGUAUGCCAGAUCAUGCUACAGCAGCUAAUUUCUUACCUCUACUGGCUGCUUCAUGAGUUGGUGAAGGAAGACAGGUCUCCCACUGAGCUUUGGCACCAUACUCUAACAAGAGCUCAGCACAUGAUGCACUGCCUCUUGAACAUGCAUUAAAUAAAGGUGUCACUCCGUCAA
This is a long non-coding RNA of Rhea pennata, 364 nucleotides long. RefSeq lists it as uncharacterized. The record is from RefSeq and is a predicted model, not a curated record. NCBI's taxonomy places the organism in Eukaryota, Metazoa, Chordata, Aves, Rheiformes, Rheidae. The transcript has 3 exons.